UGGAAGUAGAAGUAGGCGAUCCCCCUAUGAUCGUUCUUACAGAAGAAGACGAUAUGAUCAUCCCUUCAUUUUGGGAUUACAAGCCACAAUUACUUCACACAGUGACGAAAUUACAAUUAUUAACGUCAGUAGUCGUGAUUUAGUGGAAAGGGCAUUAAGGCAGCAGCAUGUACCAGACUAUAUCAAUGCCGGAUCGUCACCAAAUUUUUCAGAUGAUUUUGAUGGUGAACUUCUGUUUGAUGAUCGAGAGAGUGAAUUGUUUGAUGAUCAAGAGGCUUCUACGAAGGAGAAAGAGGACGAUGCUAUAUUAUUGGGGUGUUUUAAAACAAGAAUUUUUCGUGCUGCUGAUGGUGUAAACAAUCCCACAGAAACUUGUGCCAUAUGUCAAGCGGAAUUUGAGCAUGAAGAGUCCAUUGGGACACUUGGGUGCGGACAUGAAUAUCAUACAGGUUGCAUCAAACAAUGGUUGAUGAGGAAGAAAGAUUGUCCCAUGUGUCGAACUUCUGUUUUGCCCUUA
This 517-nucleotide unclassified non-coding RNA is filed under the name Hevea brasiliensis (rubber tree). The record is from RNAcentral. Lineage: Eukaryota; Viridiplantae; Streptophyta; Magnoliopsida; Malpighiales; Euphorbiaceae.